AGUGAACGCUGGCGGUAGGCCUAACACAUGCAAGUCGAACGGCAGCACAGUAAGAGCUUGCUCUUACGGGUGGCGAGUGGCGGACGGGGGAGGAAUACAUCGGAAUCUACUUUUUCGUGGGGGAUAACGUAGGGAAAAUUACGCUAAUACCGCAUACGACCUACGGGUGAAAGCAGGGGAUCUUCGGACCUUGCGCGAUUGAAUGAGCCGAUGUCGGAUUAGCUAGUUGGCGGGGUAAAGGCCCACCAAGGCGACGAUCCGUAGCUGGUCUGAGAGGAUGAUCAGCCACACUGGAACUGAGACACGGUCCAGACUCCUACGGGAGGCAGCAGUGGGGAAUAUUGGACAAUGGGCGCAAGCCUGAUCCAGCCAUACCGCGUGGGUGAAGAAGGCCUUCGGGUUGUAAAGCCCUUUUGUUGGGAAAGAAAAGCAGCAGGUUAAUACCCCGCUGUUCUGACGGUACCCAAAGAAUAAGCACCGGCUAACUUCGUG
Molecule: ribosomal RNA, 492 nt
Filed under: uncultured bacterium
Lineage: Bacteria
Description: partial 16S ribosomal RNA
Rfam family: Bacterial small subunit ribosomal RNA
Source: RNAcentral